UUCUAGAAUCAAUCGAUAGAAAUGGGUUCCUAGCCAUAUAACAUUAAUGAACGGAGGGUCAGUAACAUCUACACUCCAAACCUCAUUUCCUCUGAUACACUUCAUUUUUCUGUCAAACGGAUCGACUUUAAGUAAAAAUUAAAGCGACUGUUCUUUCGCUUUUUUAUUUUGAUGAUAAAAAGUAGAUUAUAUAGGCUAAUAGAAAGGAAAAUAAGUGUAAUUACCCAAACUUGAGGCGACGUAAAGCAAUUUUGAACUUACAGGUUUUCCGUGUGCGAACUACGAUCUUUCAAUGGAAAACAUCGUCAUCCAAAACAAAUUCCAUGUGUUAUAAAACCAUUAAAUAAAACUCACGUUUUCGUUUGAGAUGGAGGGAGAAGGAAGAAGAAAGACGUUGCUUGAGGAAAAGGCGUUGUAGGAUACACCGGUUAAUGAAUGGGCACGUUUUUUGAUGGAACCGAUAAUGGAAUUGGUGAAACGUCUGGUUCUAAC
RNAcentral lists this long non-coding RNA (492 nucleotides) under Lactuca sativa (garden lettuce). Its description in RNAcentral is "long non-coding RNA (LSAT_LNC007531)". Lineage: Eukaryota; Viridiplantae; Streptophyta; Magnoliopsida; Asterales; Asteraceae. The record is from RNAcentral.